AGUGAACGCUGGCGGCAGGCCUAACACAUGCAAGUCGAACGGCAGCACAAGAGAGCUUGCUCUCUGGGUGGCGAGUGGCGGACGGGUGAGGAAUGCAUCGGAAUCUGCCCAUUUGUGGGGGAUAACCUCGGGAAACCGGGACUAAUACCGCAUACGACCUACGGGUGAAAGCAGGGGAUCUUCGGACCUUGCGCAGAUGGAUGAGCCGAGGCCGGAUUAGCUAGUUGGAGGGGUAAAGGCCCACCAAGGCGACGAUCCGUAGCUGGUCUGAGAGGAUGAUCAGCCACACUGGGACUGAGACACGGCCCAGACUCCUACGGGAGGCAGCAGUGGGGAAUAUUGGACAAUGGGCGCAAGCCUGAUCCAGCCAUGCCGCGUGUGUGAAGAAGGCCUUCGGGUUGUAAAGCACUUUUGUUGGGAAAGAAAAGCAGCCGGUUAAUAUCCGGUUGUCAUGACGGUACCCAAAGAAUAAGCACCGGCUAACUUCGUG
RNAcentral lists this ribosomal RNA (490 nucleotides) under uncultured bacterium. Its description in RNAcentral is "partial 16S ribosomal RNA". It matches the Rfam family "Bacterial small subunit ribosomal RNA", at positions 29 to 507 of the family's 1533-position model. The record is from RNAcentral.